Molecule: ribosomal RNA, 253 nt
Filed under: uncultured bacterium
Lineage: Bacteria
Description: partial 16S ribosomal RNA
Rfam family: Bacterial small subunit ribosomal RNA
Source: RNAcentral
UACAGAGGUCCCGAGCGUUGUUCGGAUUUAUUGGGCGUAAAGGGUGCGUAGGCGGCGGAGUAAGUUGGGUGUGAAAUCCCGAGGCUCAACCUCGGAAUUGCAUUCAAUACUGCUUCGCUCGAGUACUGGAGAGGAGGCUGGAAUUUACGGUGUAGCAGUGAAAUGCGUAGAUAUCGUAAGGAAGGCCGGUGGCGAAAGCGAGCCUCUGGACAGUUACUGACGCUGACGCACGAAGGCCAGGGGAGCAAACGGG